This 1128-nucleotide long non-coding RNA is filed under the name Volvox carteri. Its description in RNAcentral is "long non-coding RNA (VCAR_LNC000025)". The record is from RNAcentral. Lineage: Eukaryota; Viridiplantae; Chlorophyta; Chlorophyceae; Chlamydomonadales; Volvocaceae.
AUUAAUUUGACAUGAAAUUGGACAAGAAGUAGGUAAUAAUAUAUAAUUCCGAAGCCGAAUGAAGAAAUGCUGAUGUUCCCUACUUGACUUUAUUUACGUAUGUGCCUGACGGCGCUUUUUUUGCUCCAUGUGCUGCUUCCGAGCCUUAUGUUAGCCAGGGCAGCUACUGCCGUGGGCUUAUAAUGAGUAUUGAAUAGCGUCUUGUGAUGCGCGCGUGAGUGUAUAUAUGUGUGUGAAUGUGUACGAAUGUAUAUAUGUAUGUAUGUAUGUAUGCUGUCGUGCUGCUUGGUACGUGUGUGGGCGAUAGACGCCAAUGGCACUGCUGGAGGCAGCGGGGGUAGUGGCGACGGUGGGCUGUUAGCGGUAAUAAGGGGUAUAUAGACGCGCGCGUGUGUGUGUAUGUGUGUGUGGGUGUGAAAAAAACAUUCGGAGUUGUGUCGGCGAUUGAAAAGCGACUGCUAGCAGCGGCUGACUGGCUGCGACGUACAGAUAUAAUAUCUUGCUGAUAUCACUUAGGCGGCCGAGCCACUACGAGGUGCCACUAGGAGCGAAAAUGGAGAGGGGGAGAGGCGAGAGAGGGAAAGGCGUGUGUCGCAAUUCUCGGUACAAGGUAUUCAACCACGCAGAGGGCUCAACCUGUCUAGAGUAUGGCUUGGCCAUGCUUUCGGUCGAGUGCUAGGUUAAUAUAUAGUUUGCAAGGCCGCGGCGGGCGCCGAGCGAGGUGCUAAGGACUUGACGGCUGGAGGCGGAUAGCCUGCCGUUCCCCUCUCGCGUUCCUCUUCGUUCAUAUUUAUGGACUUUAGCAUAGGUAUUUUUUCCUUUUACAAGGCCCUGACACUUGGCUAGGGACUCGAUUUUUGCUGCUGCGUUGAUCUUUUCAACAUACGGGACAAACAUUGUCGUAAAAUACACAGUUUACGAUUUGGACAUUCAAGUAUGUUUCAUGUUUUGCGGGCUUCUUCGAGUAGACUAUAUAACCUACAUCACGGAGUACUCAAAACUACUUGUUUUGACAAUAGGGGAUUAGGCCACGGUGCGGAGAUUUUCAGUGCGCCGAGUCAUCGGCAGGCGCUCAUGCUGCCAUCCCAUCGACUCAUGUAAAUACACGAAAUUCGCAAAGUAAUUACA